Molecule: long non-coding RNA, 7368 nt
Organism: Ictalurus punctatus (channel catfish)
Lineage: Eukaryota; Metazoa; Chordata; Actinopteri; Siluriformes; Ictaluridae
Source: Ensembl
CACUACUUACUACCAACUACUUACUACUCCCUACUCCCUACUCACUACUUACUACUCACUACUCAUUACUCACUACUCAUUACUCACUACUCACUACUUACUACUCACUACUCACUACUUACUACUCACUACUCCCUACUCACUACUUACUACUCACUACUCCCUACUCACUACUCAUUACUUACUACUCACUACUUACUACUCACUACUCAUUACUCCCUACUCACUACUUACUAUUCACUACUCCCUACUCACUACUCACUACUCAUUACUUACUAUUCACUACUCCCUACUCACUACUCAUUACUUACUACUCACUACUCAUUACUUAUUACUCACUAUUACACUACUUACUACUCACUACAGUGGGCAGUGGUAGCUCAGUGGUUAAGACAUUGGACUACUGAUCUGAAGGUCAUGCGUCCACUGCCAAGCUGCUACUACUGGGAACUUGAGCAAGGCCCUUAACCCUCAACUGCUCAGUUGUAAAAAUGAAAUAAAUGUAAGUCGUACUGGAUAUGAAUGCCGUAAAUGUAAUGUACUUACUACUUACUCACUCACUGGGUUUAUUCCUCAAAACCACAGAGAGUAAAGUGCAAUAGACUUUAAAGCUCAAAGCAUGUACUUGGGUGGGAGUGUGUGAUAGCAGCAUGUGUGUUUUCAGUACUUGUGUGUUUUUAGUAGUUUAGUUAAAUUACUUGAGUAUUUUCAGUAGGUGUGUGUUGUCAUAGAUGUGUGUUUUCAGGAGUUGGCUAUUGUCAGUAGUUGCGUCCUUUUAGGAGGUGAACGUUGUCAGUAGUUGUGUUUUUUCUGUGUAUUUUAAUUGUUGUUUGUGGUUUUAGUAGGUGUGUGCUGUCACUAGUUGCAUAUUUUCAGUAGUUGUGUGUUUUCAGUAGUUGUCGUUAUAGUAGUGUGUGUGUGUGUGUGUGUGUGUUUCUGGUAUGCAUUGGGUCAGAUUGUGUUGAUGCAAAUAUAUAGUGUGUGACAUGAGAUGAUGUGGGUGGAGGUUAUGGGAGUGCUGCAUAUGGUGCAGUGUGUGUGUGUGUGUGUGUGUGUGUGUGUGUGUGUGUGGGUAGGUAGGUAGUGGGGCCCCUGCUCAACCUUCAGUUACACUGAACAGGCAAUAACUCCUCUCUCCAUCCACGACUUGGGUGUGUGUGUGUGUGUGUGUGUAUGUGUGUGUGUAUACAUGUAUGUAUGUAUAUUCCUCUGCAUUUCUUCAUGACUUCAUGUGCUGAAGAUGCUUUACAUACAGGUAAUGAAUGAAUGAAUGAAUGAAUGAGUGUGUGUGUGUGUGUGUGUGUGUGUGUGUAUUGAUGUUAUUAAGUGUUGUUCCCCAUGCUGACCUACUUUCUCCAUAGCGACCGGUGCCGCGUCGCACUGUGCAGAGAGCAGGAUCACUGUUUCUGCAAGCGUCUCGUCCUCUCAGAGCAGGGCUGUGUUUGCAGCAGAGGGAUGUGUGUGUGUGUGUGUGUGUGUGCACACCUGUUUCCGAUCAGCUGUGUGUUAGCAGAAAAAUGUCGGAAGAAGUGUGGUUAGACUACGGGAAUGCGAUUCACCUCUGUAAUGGUGAAAGGUAAAGCAGAGCUCUGUGUGUGUGUGUGUGUGUGUGUGUGUGUGUGUGUGUGUGUGUGUUACAGAGAGAAAUAAACUCAGUCUGGUGUUUUCCUGUUACAGUGUGUGUGUUCAAUAGUUGUGUGUUUUUAGUUGGUGUGUAUCUUCAGUAGGUGUGUUUUUCAGCAAUUAUGUGUGUCCCCCCCCCCCCCCAAGUGUGUUCAGUACUUGUGUGUCUUCAGCAGUUGUAUUUUUAUCAUGUUUUUUUUAGGUGAUGCAGUUUGUCACUAAUAAUACGUGUGUGUUUUCAGUUCUUGUGUGUUCGCAACGAUUGUGUGUUUUUCAGUAGUUGUAUAUUUUCGGUACACCUUGUGCUUUCAGGAGUUACAUUUUUCGAUGUGUGUUUAGAGUGAUACAAGUUGUCAGUAGUUGUGUGUUUUCAGUAUGUUUGUGCUCAGUAAUUAUGUGCGUUUUUCAGUAGGUGCAUUUUCAGAUGUGUGUUUUCCAGUAGUUGUAAAUAUAUAUAUAUAUAUAUUAGUAUUAUCAGUGUUUUCAGUACUUGUGUGUUCUCAGUUAUUUUGUAUUUUUCAGUAAAUGUGUUGUCAGUUGUCCUGUGUUUUCAGUACUUGUCUGUGUUCAGUAAUUGAGUAUCACCAACGUUUUCAGUAUCCGUGUGUUUUCAGUAGCUGUAUGUUUCAUUCAUUUGUAGUGAUGCGUAAUGUUUUCACCCGGUAUGUGUUUUUUUUUCAGUAGGUGUAGUGCUGUCAGUAUUUUAUGUCUUUAUUAGCUGUGUUUUCAGUACUUUUUUUUUUUUCAUAAAUGUGUCUGGCUGCAUUUGUUUUCAGUUGUGUGUUUCUCAGUACCUGUGUGUUGCCAGCUGCGUAUUGUCAGUACUUUUGAGUGCAGUUGUGUACGUUUUUCAGUACUGACAUGUAUACAGCUAGUUAGUAGUCCACUAGUUGUGUAGGUAUCUUAUGCUUUCAGUAGUUUCAGUAGUUGUGGUUUUUUUGUGGGUGUCUGUUGCCAGCUUUUCAGUGUUUUUGUUCUGUGUUUUGAAAUCUUUCAGGUGUUGUUGUUUUUUCAGUACUUUGGUAGUUGUGUUUGUCAGUAGGUCAGUAUCUCUGUAUCGUCAUUAGUUAUGAGUGUGUAUUUUUGAGGAAAUAUCUCUGCUUGGACAUACUCAGCCACGAAUCUUUGUAGACACUACAUUCCCUCCCCCAAUUCUGCCGUAACCAAUCAGAACAUGUUAUCCGACCCAGUGAACGUGUGUGCAGGAUGUGUGAAGACCCCAUCGUACCCCCGUCAUGAUGCCCUUGAACUCUGUCUAUAGUUUGUUGUACGGUUGUGUUUCUCCCCACAGUGUAAAAGUGCUGAUGUGGGCGACUUUAAGGUCAAGGCAACACAAUCACUGAGACUAAGCAUGUGUGUGUCUGGGUUUGUUGUACAUUGUGCAAGUACUGCACAUGCUGUGUAUGUACGUCACUAUGUAAAUUGUAAGGUGAGAUUUGGACAGCCAUAUUGUUAGUGUGUAUCUGUUAUCUCAGUGAAUGAGGUUAUUCCUUGACUCUGUUUCAUUCAGUGUACCGGGUGAUAGUCUUUCUUGAUCUUUCUGGGUCUCUGGGUCUGGCUUUUGUUGUCCCAUAAUCUCCUGUUUCUUGGUAAAAGAUCACUGCUGUCUGCUUAGCAUGAACCUGUGUGUGUGUGUGUGUGUGUGUGUGUGUGUGGGUGUGUGUUAUGGGUGAGUCGGAAAGUAAUUCCUACUGUCACUGUGCCACUAAUCCUUAAACUUGACAGUGACAGUAAGCUGUGUUUAAUAAUUAGACAAAGGGUUUCCUAAUCCUUCCAGCUAGCUGCUGUCUCCUUAGAAUAUUCAGAGGUAGCGUUAGGUUUGUUCAUGCUAGUCAUUUUUUCCCAACCAAAAGCACUUAUUUUUCAGGUAAUUCAGUGGAAAGUGGCUACAUUCAGUUCAGAAUGAAGCCAGUGUAAAAAAAAAAAAAAAAAGUGAUUCACCUUUUCAGGGAUUUUGUGUAUGUGUAUUUGUGUGGGGGUCAUGGAUGGAUCACAGAUUUUGAUCAGAGGUCGUGGCCACACUUCUGCGGUGCAUGGAGUUGGUGCUAUUAGACUAUCAGGCUAGAGAGGUUAGGCUGGGUUUGUUAGGAGGCCGGCUGGGUCUAUAGGGUCAUCAGGAGGUAGGCUGGGUCUACAGGGUCAUCAGGAGGUAGGCUGGGUCUACAGGGUCAUCAGGAGGUAGGCUGGGUCUACAGGGUCAUCAGGAGGUAGGCUGGGUCUACAGGGUCAUCAGGAGGUAGGCUGGGUCUACAGGGUCAUCAGGAGGUAGGCUGGGUGUAUAGGGUCAUCAGCAGGCAGGCUGGGUCUACAGGAACAUCAUAAGGGGGGCAGGUUCUGUGGGGCUAUUGGAAGGUUUGAUUGGUUCUGAAGCCGUAUAGAGGCUGGGUCUAAAGUAGCAGGAACAGAGAUUUGGCCAGGAGCAAAAGCAAAGUCAGAAAUUGAGCUACAAGAACAAGAGAACAAGGACAGGGCCUGAUCUAAUAAACUGCAUUAGGCUAAACAGUCUGAAUGGAUGGAAGGGCUUGUUUAACAUGUUCAUAUGAUUUCUUUUCUGUGGAGGUAUUAGUUACUAUAAUUACCACUCUCACAGCGUUGUGGGUGGGGCAGAACACUUUCUUUCCUUUUAUUUUAACUAGAACUCCCUUGACACUUGGCAGCGAGAACAAUGCAGCUGAAAUGAUUUCCUUGAAAGUUCACUGAGUUUGAUACAGGUGCAGUUGUGCAAUCCAUUUCUUAGUUUCCAUAACUUUAUUAAAACUUUAUUAAAAUACUAAACUUUCCCAUAGUAAUGCCUGCAAAUUUGGGAAUGCAGAUCUAGUAUCAGCUCAGUGGCUAACCUCAACCAUGACAGGAAUCCGAUAAUCACGACAGAUGAUAUGUGUGUGUUGAUUCAAGAUGGAACAUUUUCCCCCAUCGAGAAACCAAUGUCAAAGACUUAACCGCUGCACUGCAACUCCCUCCUUCCUUCCACCUUUUAACCACUGUCUGUGUGUGUGUGAGAGAGGGAACGAUGAUCUCUUUCUAGAAUCUGUACAUGGUUCUAAAUCGAACUAAUCACAGAGAACCUUCCUGCCCAUUUUUGCCUGUCUGGUCACUCUCACUGCUCUUGAUUAAACUCAGACGGCAGAGUUAAACUAAACCAAUACUUAACUACUUCAAAAGCUGAAAUUGAUCAACCACUGGCCAGACUUAUUGUGCUCCAGCGCCAUGGAUAUUAUUUUGAAUGCAAGCCUCUAGCAACGGGAUGAAGUUUACUGAAACCUCAGUGUUCUUUUAAGAAUUUCAGUCCGAAACCGAUUACAUCCUGAUCCCAGAUGGAGAGAAAUUAAGACCUUUUACUGACAAGGUUGCCAGAUCUUUCGGCCUGUUUUCGAUGCCAGGCAGCUCAAGCGACUAUCAUUCCUGCUAAAUGGCACGUUUUAUUAUUGAAAGCUGCUGUGGGAAAGUGAAAGCCUUGCUUGGAACUAGCUUUGCUCUACAUUACACUGAUAUGAGUGCACAGGGCCUCUUUACAUAAAUUAGGAUUGCGCUGGAUAUUGGGUCAGGACCUACGUCAUUGAAAUAAGACCCUAAUUUAUUGGGACGGUAUUCUUAUUUAUGUGGAAGGAGCCUUAACUUAUUGGGACAAGGCUGUAACUUAUUGGGCUUGGAAUGUAUUUUACUGGGUAGGGCCCUAAAUUAUUGCGAACUUAGUGUGUUAGAACUGUAAUUUUUGCCACAAUUGGGCCACAAUUUUUUGGGAGAAGGGUUCUCAAUUAUUUUGUUGAAUUGGGGUCCUAUGGGAUGAGACAUUUUGGGAUAAGAGGAUCUUAUUUUUGUGGUGCUUUUUUGUUUUACCAUUUUUGGGCCAUAGUUCAUUGGGAUAUUGAAGCCUACCUUAUUGGAACACUGCCUAAUGCUGGGAUGGAGCCCUAUCAUAUUGUGAUUGUUAUUAGGACCUUAGUUUAUUAGGAUUGGACCGAGGCUUGUGUUUAUCCGGAGAUGCUUUGUUCCUCCAGCGAUGUUCUUCGUUGUAACUUUGUUGUGGUUAGCAGUUAAAGGGUUAACAAGGAACAAGUGUGUGUGUGAAUGGGAGUGGCUGAAAUAUAGGUCAAUCACACCUCCUUCUAUCUUGCACUUCUGAUAAUGUUCUUCUAAUACUAUGUAAUUGCACAGUACAGUUUCCUCAUGACUGAAGCUUGGUAAAUAUAUAUGUGUGUGUGUGUGUGUGUGUGUGUGUGUGUGUUUCUGUUCAGUGUAUGACUUUAGGACCCUAUAGUAUCGUAUAACCAUACAUGGCUUUGAACAUAUCAGCUACAAAACAGUUUUUUUUGUGCGUGUGUGACACCCAACUGGGCCUCUGUUCAACAGAACGCCAUGCAAACAUUCAACACACACACACACACACACACACACACAGUAUUAGUUACUGGGAAAAACAGUCUCCCGAUUGUCAUAAUAGCGCAGAGAUAGAGACUCGCUGAUUGACAUCUCCAACCCACAAACUACCGAGUUCAGCUGACCACAAAGACAUAAAUCCGAGGCGUCGGCCAAUCAGGAGUCAGAGAUGGUAGAGCGAGAUUUUUUUCCACCACAAUAAAGGGUUAUGAAAAUUUCUGCUUAAACUAUCUGUGAUACAGUUAUAGUAUUAUUGGAAAGCAUGUACUUGUCAAGUACAAUUAACUACUGUGUGUGUGUGUGUGUGUGUGUGUGUUUAAUGUCUAUUUAAUGUUGCAUGCCACAAGAUUCUUCCCCUAAUGUUCUUCUCUUUGGGAAAAGGAUGUAAGCUGACUCAUAGUGUGUGUGUGUGUGUGUGUGUGUGUGUGUGUGUUAGUCUUGUCAGUGUCCUUUUCUAUCAGCCAUGAUGUUUGUUUAAUGAGGAAAUUCAUCGCAGAAAGACUUCCUCCGCUUUUAUGGGUUACAGUACGACCGCGCACACACAUACACACACACACACACACACACACACACACACACACACCGACACUUACCUCGUGUGCGAUAAUGCACUGUGUUUCUUUUAAUUCAUAUGAUUUAUACAAGUCUCCUGUUGUUGUUGUUGUUGUUUUUUCUUCUUCCUUUCUUUCCUGCUCUCUUUUCAUUAUCUAAAGGGCUGGUCCUGCUCGAGGGAUGGUUUCUAGGUCACUCCAUGCCUCGCGGAUGUAACAUUUCCCGAGCUGUUAAAGCGCCACAUUUCUGCUUUGUCAUCAGACGUUGCUUUUGUUGGUAACCAGUCGUUAGUCAGAAUUUAUUUUUGGGAGAACGACUGCUAGCCAAAAAUAACGCCGCCUACUCUGGCAACCUCGGUCCAAAUGGACGAACUGUACAGUACGGGUUUGACAGCGUGGGGUCGUGUGUCCAUCAUGUUUAGCAGAUAAACUCCCUCUGUGUGGCAUUUACUUCUCAGGACGUGAACGUAAUUCUCAAUAUGGAAGCUUCGAUGCUGAGUGUGAUUUUAUUUUCACAGAGUCUUUUAUUACAAAUCUAACAACAGAUCUGAGAGAAAUGUUGACGUUUACCACAGCUUUGUCACGUGUACGCUGUCACUAAGCCUUUACCUCAUCCAUAAAAUAAGGUACGUCAUGGCUAAUUAAGUGGUUAGUGUCAUUUGACUUAGGUUUACCAUGUAUGACAACAGUAUGACAUAUCUUCAGGAUGAAAGGGAUUCAGUUAUGAGUGUCUUUGACCAGAUCGCUAUGAAUUCAUUGAAGGAAUCACAUCGCUAUCUAGCGUAAACGUAAUUCCGAUUCAACACAUGCAAAUUAA